CGUUGGCUCCAGACAAAUAAACAUGGAGUCCAUCUUCCACGAGAAACAAGAAGGCUCACUUUGUGCUCAACAUUGCCUGAAUAACUUAUUGCAAGGAGAAUAUUUUAGCCCUGUGGAAUUAUCCUCAAUUGCACAUCAGCUGGAUGAGGAGGAGAGGAUGAGAAUGGCAGAAGGAGGAGUUACUAGUGAAGAUUAUCGCACGUUUUUACAGCAGCCUUCUGGAAAUAUGGAUGACAGUGGUUUUUUCUCUAUUCAGACAGCAGCAAAAGCAGCAACAGCAGCCGCAAAAGCAGCAACAGCAGCCGCAACAGCAGCAGCAGCAGCAGCAGGGGGACCUAUCAGGACAGAGUUCACAUCCAUGUGAAAGGCCAACCACCAGUUCAGGAGCACUUGGGAGUGAUC
RNAcentral lists this small RNA (402 nucleotides) under Pongo abelii (Sumatran orangutan). Its description in RNAcentral is "processed transcript". The record is from RNAcentral. Lineage: Eukaryota; Metazoa; Chordata; Mammalia; Primates; Hominidae.